AUAGUUAACUUAGGGGAAAGUAAUAUUGAGGAAAAGUGUUUAGUUUAAAUAAAAUUAUAAAAAAAAUAAUAGUUUAAUUAUUUAUAUUUAAUUAAUUUAAAGUAGUUAUAAAUAAAGAGUAUUGUAAGAGAAAAAGAUAAAAUAGAGUAAAGUAAGUUUAAUUUAUUGUACCUUUUGUAUCAGGGGUUAUUAAAAUAUUAUUUUUGAAUUUAAAAUUUCUCGAAGCUAGAAGAGCGAAUUAAGUAUUAUAGUUAAUGUUUAAUAAUUAUUAUAAAUAUUUAAUUAGUGAAUAUAUUUUAGUCAAUUUUAGGGAUAUCUAGUUUUUUUUGUUAAAAUUUAAUUUGAAUUUAAUUUAUAAUAUUAUUUAAGUUAAAAUAAAUAUAUUAAAAAUUAAGGGUAAAAAUUAUGGGAUAAUCUAUAAUUUUUUUUAAAAUUUUUUAUUAGGGAUGUAUAAAAAUAUAAGUAAAAAUAUUCAUAAUAUUGGAAUUUUUUAAUAAAAAUUUAAUAAUUUAUAAUAAAUAGUAGGGUAAAUUUUUAAGUGAUUUUUAUUUAAAAUUUAAUGUAUAAAAAAAAUAUUUAUUAAAAUUAGGUAAAUAAAUUAAUAAUGAUAAUAUUAGUAAAAUGAGUAAGAGUUUUAAAGUUUAAAAGAGAUUAUAAGUUAGUUUUAGGAAUUCGGCAAAAUAUAAAUUUACCUGUUUAAUAAAAACAUGGUUUUUUGAUUAUAAUCUAAAAUUGUUUCUGCCCACUGAAGUUAAAUUUGAAUGGCUGCAGUAUAUUAACUGUACAAAGGUAGCAUAAUAAAUAGUUUUUUAAAUGAAGACUGGGAUGAAUGAAUUGAUAAGGUUUAUACUAUCUUAGAUUAAAUUUAUUGAAUUUUUUAAUUAAGUAAAAAUACUUAGAUGAGGAUAUGGGACGAGAAGACCCUAUAGAAUUUUAUAUAAAUUUAUUAAAUUAUUUAGUAAAAAAUAUUAGUGAAUUUAUAUUUUAUUGGGAGGAUUAUUAAAUUAAUAUAACUUUAGUAUAAAUAAGUAAAAAUCAUUAAUAAAUGAGUAUGAAAAGAAUGAUUAUUAAAUUUAAUUAGAAUUAAUUACCUUAGGGAUAACAGCAUAAUAUUUUUAGAGAGAUCUUAUUAAUAAAAAUGAUUGUGACCUCGAUGUUGAAUUAAGAUAAAAAUUAAAUGAAGGAGUUUAAUAUUUAAGUCUGUUCGACUUUUAAAAUCUUACAUGAUUUGAGUUUAGAUCGGUGUGAGCCAGAUCGGGUUCUAUCUAUAUUUAAAUUAAAAUUAUUUGUACGAAAGGACUUUAAUUUUUAAUAAUAUUAAAUUUAUAGUAUUACUUUGGCAGAUUAGUGCAUUAAAUUUAGAAUUUAAUAUUAAAUAUAAUAAUUU
RNAcentral lists this ribosomal RNA (1387 nucleotides) under Pheidole fervens. RNAcentral's name for it is "16S ribosomal RNA". The record is from RNAcentral. Lineage: Eukaryota; Metazoa; Arthropoda; Insecta; Hymenoptera; Formicidae.